This 506-nucleotide ribosomal RNA is filed under the name uncultured bacterium. Its description in RNAcentral is "partial 16S ribosomal RNA". It matches the Rfam family "Bacterial small subunit ribosomal RNA", at positions 30 to 523 of the family's 1533-position model. The record is from RNAcentral.
AUUGAACGCUGGCGGCAGGCCUAACACAUGCAAGUCGAACGGCAGCACAGAAGAGCUUGCUCUUUGGGUGGCGAGUGGCGGACGGGUGAGUAAUGUCUGGGAAACUGCCCGAUGGAGGGGGAUAACUACUGGAGACGGUAGCUAAUACCGCAUAACGUCGCAAGACCAAAGUGGGGGACCUUCGGGCCUCACACAAUCGGAUGUGCCCAGAUGGGAUUAGCUAGUAGGUGGGGUAAUGGCUCACCUAGGCGACGAUCCCUAGCUGGUCUGAGAGGAUGACCAGCCACACUGGAACUGAGACACGGUCCAGACUCCUACGGGAGGCAGCAGUGGGGAAUAUUGCACAAUGGGCGCAAGCCUGAUGCAGCCAUGCCGCGUGUAUGAAGAAGGCCUUCGGGUUGUAAAGUACUUUCAGCGGGGAGGAAGGCGGUGAGGUUAAUAACCUUGCCGAUUGACGUUACCCGCAGAAGAAGCACCGGCUAACUCCGUGCCAGCCGCCGCAGUAA